UACGAGGGGGGCGAGCGUUGUUCGGAAUUAUUGGGCGUAAAGGGUGCGUAGGCGGUUUGGUAAGUCUUAUGUGAGAUCUACAGGCUCAACUUGUAGUCUGCAUGAGAAACUGCCGGGCUUGAGUAUGGGAGAGGUGAGUGGAAUUCCUGGUGUAGCGGUGAAAUGCGUAGAUAUCAGGAGGAACACCUGUGGCGAAAGCGGCUCACUGGACCAUAACUGACGCUGAUGCACGAAAGCUAGGGGAGCAAACAGG
This 253-nucleotide ribosomal RNA is filed under the name uncultured bacterium. RNAcentral's name for it is "partial 16S ribosomal RNA". It matches the Rfam family "Bacterial small subunit ribosomal RNA", at positions 524 to 776 of the family's 1533-position model. The record is from RNAcentral.